GUGAAUAUUUCAUUGACGUAUCAGGUUAACUAGGCUAAUUGAACUACAUAUGGUAGCCCACACACAUUGUGCCUUAGAGUCAACUCAUGUAAAGCCUUUAAUAGGUUUAACUAUAGUGUAAGUUGACUUCAGGACUUCAUCACCAAUUGAACCUAAGGUUAUAACCCCACAACACCAAUGUCCUAUAUUAGGCUAGCUAGGACACUAGGCCCUAGAAAACAAGCCAACAGAGGUGGCAAAAAUGGUGCCAGCAGUCGCGGUUAUACCAUUACCUCAAGUUAACCCACACAAACAGGGAUCAACCACAAGACUAAAAAAUUAACUUUCUACGUAAAAAAUAAAUUAUAACUAAACCCAACUAAGUCAUUUUUACUACAAAUCCCAACAAACCACAACCUCAAAACCCGGAUUAGAUACCCGGCUAUUGUGUGGCCCAACACAAAAAGAAUACUACAAGCGAAAGCUCAAACCUCAAACAAUGUGGCGGUGCUUAACUCCUCAUCAGGGGAUCCUGUGUCUUAAAUCGAUAAUCCACGAAAACCUUAGCUUUCUUAGUACUCAGCUUGUGUAUGGCCGUUUAUGCUUGCUCAAAAAAGAUUAAAAAGGAAGCAAUAGAGUUACACCCCUUAAUUCAGGUGACAUACAGCCAAUAGAAAGCUGACUCAUGGGAUACAAAUAAAUACACUACCAGAAUUGAAAAUCAAACUUUUUAAUAAAGGAGGACUUGAAAGUAAGAUGAUACAUCACAUAAAGGUAAUCUGAACAAGAACUUAAGCGCGCACAAAUCGCCCGUCACUCCGGCAGUAAAGCCGGACAAGUCGUAACACAGUAGGGGUAAUGGAAAUUGCCCCUAUCAC
This 857-nucleotide ribosomal RNA is filed under the name Solenaia carinata. RNAcentral describes it as "small ribosomal RNA subunit RNA". Lineage: Eukaryota; Metazoa; Mollusca; Bivalvia; Unionida; Unionidae. The record is from RNAcentral.